ACACGACUCUCGGCAACGGAUAUCUCGGCUCUCGCAUCGAUGAAGAACGUAGCGAAAUGCGAUACCUGGUGUGAAUUGCARAAUCCCGCGAACCAUCGAGUCUUUGAACGCAAGUUGCGCCCAAGGCCUUUUGGCUGAGGGCACGCCUGCCUGGGCGUCACGC
This 163-nucleotide ribosomal RNA is filed under the name Festuca muelleri. RNAcentral describes it as "5.8S ribosomal RNA". It matches the Rfam family "5.8S ribosomal RNA". Rfam says of the family: 5.8S ribosomal RNA (5.8S rRNA) is a component of the large subunit of the eukaryotic ribosome. It is transcribed by RNA polymerase I as part of the 45S precursor that also contains 18S and 28S rRNA. Lineage: Eukaryota; Viridiplantae; Streptophyta; Magnoliopsida; Poales; Poaceae. The record is from RNAcentral.